Molecule: ribosomal RNA, 766 nt
Filed under: Enterococcus faecalis
Lineage: Bacteria; Bacillati; Bacillota; Bacilli; Lactobacillales; Enterococcaceae
Description: bacterial SSU rRNA
Rfam family: Bacterial small subunit ribosomal RNA
Source: RNAcentral
GCUGGCGGCGUGCCUAUACAUGCAAGUCGAACGCUUCUUUCCUCCCGAUGCUUGCACUCAAUUGGAAAGAGGAGUGGCGGACGGGUGAGUAACACGUGGGUAACCUACCCAUCAGAGGGGGAUAACACUUGGAAACAGGUGCUAAUACCGCAUAACAGUUUAUGCCGCAUGGCAUAAGAGUGAAAGGCGCUUUCGGGUGUCGCUGAUGGAUGGACCCGCGGUGCAUUAGCUAGUUGGUGAGGUAACGGCUCACCAAGGCCACGAUGCAUAGCCGACCUGAGAGGGUGAUCGGCCACACUGGGACUGAGACACGGCCCAGACUCCUACGGGAGGCAGCAGUAGGGAAUCUUCGGCAAUGGACGAAAGUCUUGACCGAGCAACGCCGCGUGAGUGAAGAAGGUUUUCGGAUCGUAAAACUCUGUUGUUAGAGAAGAACAAGGACGUUAGUAACUGAACGUCCCCUGACGGUAUCUAACCAGAAAGCCACGGCUAACUACGUGCCAGCAGCCCGCGGUAAUACGUAGGUGGCAAGCGUUGUCCGGAUUUAUUGGGCGUAAAGCGAGCGCAGGCGGUUUCUUAAGUCUGAUGUGAAAGCCCCCGGCUCAACCGGGGAGGGUCAUUGGAAACUGGGAGACUUGAGUGCAGAAGAGGAGAGUGGAAUUCCAUGUGUAGCGGUGAAAUGCGUAGAUAUAUGGAGGAACACCAGUGGCGAAGGCGGCUCUCUGGUCUGUAACUGACGCUGAGGCUCGAAAGCGGGGGAGCAAAC